Molecule: ribosomal RNA, 692 nt
Filed under: uncultured Lachnospiraceae bacterium
Lineage: Bacteria; Bacillati; Bacillota; Clostridia; Lachnospirales; Lachnospiraceae
Description: bacterial SSU rRNA
Rfam family: Bacterial small subunit ribosomal RNA
Source: RNAcentral
GAUUCUUCGGAUGAUUGAUUGGUGACUGAGUGGCGGACGGGUGAGUAACGCGUGGGUAACCUGCCCUGUACAGGGGGAUAACAGUUGGAAACGGCUGCUAAUACCGCAUAAGCGCACGAGAGGACAUCCUCUUGUGUGAAAAACUCCGGUGGUACAGGAUGGGCCCGCGUCUGAUUAGCUGGUUGGCAGGGUAACGGCCUACCAAGGCGACGAUCAGUAGCCGGUCUGAGAGGAUGAACGGCCACAUUGGAACUGAGACACGGUCCAAACUCCUACGGGAGGCAGCAGUGGGGAAUAUUGCACAAUGGGGGAAACCCUGAUGCAGCAACGCCGCGUGAGUGAAGAAGUAUUUCGGUAUGUAAAGCUCUAUCAGCAGGGAAGAUAAUGACGGUACCUGACUAAGAAGCUCCGGCUAAAUACGUGCCAGCAGCCGCGGUAAUACGUAUGGAGCAAGCGUUAUCCGGAUUUACUGGGUGUAAAGGGUGCGUAGGUGGCAGUGCAAGUCAGAUGUGAAAGGCCGGGGCUCAACCCCGGAGCUGCAUUUGAAACUGCAUAGCUAGAGUACAGGAGAGGCAGGCGGAAUUCCUAGUGUAGCGGUGAAAUGCGUAGAUAUUAGGAGGAACACCAGUGGCGAAGGCGGCCUGCUGGACUGUUACUGACACUGAGGCACGAAAGCGUGGGGAGCAAACAGG